AGGACGACCAGCCACACUGGAACUGAGACACGGUCCAGACUCCUACGGGAGGCAGCAGUGGGGAAUUUUGGACAAUGGGCGCAAGCCUGAUCCAGCCAUGCCGCGUGAGUGAAGAAGGCCUUCGGGUUGUAAAGCUCUUUCAGCCGGAAAGAAAUUGCUUCUAUUAAUACUAGGAGUAGAUGACGGUACCGGAAGAAGAAGCACCGGCUAACUACGUGCCAGCAGCCGCGGUAAUACGUAGGGUGCGAGCGUUAAUCGGAAUUACUGGGCGUAAAGCGUGCGCAGGCGGUUUGGUAAGACAGACGUGAAAUCCCCGGGCUUAACCUGGGAACUGCGUUUGUGACUGUCAGACUAGAGUGUAGCAGAGGGGGGUAGAAUUCCACGUGUAGCAGUGAAAUGCGUAGAUAUGUGGAGGAAUACCAAUGGCGAAGGCAGCCCCCUGGGUUAACACUGACGCUCAUGCACGAAAGCGUGGGGAGCAAACAGGAUUAGAUACCCUGGUAGUCCACGCCCUAAACGAUGUCAACUAGGUGUUGGGGAAGGAGACUUCUUUAGUACCGCAGCUAACGCGUGAAGUUGACCGCCUGGGGAGUACGGUCGCAAGAUUAAAACUCAAAGGAAUUGACGGGGACCCGCACAAGCGGUGGAUUAUGUGGAUUAAUUCGAUGCAACGCGAAAAACCUUACCUACCCUUGACAUGUCAGGAAGAUUCCAGAGAUGGGAUUGUGCCCGAAAGGGAGCCUGAACACAGGUGCUGCAUGGCUGUCGUCAGCUCGUGUCGUGAGAUGUUGGGUUAAGUCCCGCAACGAGCGCAACCCUUGUCAUUAAUUGCCAUCAUUUAGUUGGGCACUUUAAUGAGACUGCCGGUGAUAAACCGGAGGAAGGUGGGGAUGACGUCAAGUCCUCAUGGCCCUUAUGGGUAGGGCUUCACACGUAAUACAAUGGUCGGUACAGAGGGUUGCCAACCCGCGAGGGGGAGCCAAUCCCAAAAAGCCGAUCGUAGUCCGGAUUGUAGUCUGCAACUCGACUACAUGAAGUCGGAAUCGCUAGUAAUCGCGGAUCAGCAUGUCGCGGUGAAUACGUUCCCGGGUCUUGUACACACCGCCCGUCACACCAUGGGAGUAGAAUCUGGCAGAAGUAGGUAGCCUAACCGCAAGGGGGGCGCUUACCACGCUGGGUUUUAUGACUGGGGUGAAGUCGUAACAAGGUA
This 1210-nucleotide ribosomal RNA is filed under the name metagenome. RNAcentral describes it as "bacterial SSU rRNA". It matches the Rfam family "Bacterial small subunit ribosomal RNA", at positions 297 to 1498 of the family's 1533-position model. The record is from RNAcentral.